Molecule: ribosomal RNA, 359 nt
Filed under: Vibrio parahaemolyticus
Lineage: Bacteria; Pseudomonadati; Pseudomonadota; Gammaproteobacteria; Vibrionales; Vibrionaceae
Description: bacterial LSU rRNA
Rfam family: Bacterial large subunit ribosomal RNA
Source: RNAcentral
GUACCCGGAGGAAGAGAAAGAAAAAUCGAUUUCCUAAGUAGCGGCGAGCGAACGGGAAAGAGCCCAAACCAGAAACUUGUUUCUGGGGUUGUGGAUAGAUCAUAAAAGAAGAGGUAUCUUAAUCGAAGAGGGCUGGAACGCCCUACCAUAGAAGGUAAUAGUCCUGUAGGUAAAAAGAGAAAACUUCGAGAUCUAAUCCAGAGUACCACGAGACACGUGAAACCUUGUGGGAAGCAGGGAGGACCACCUCCCAAGGCUAAAUACUACCUAGUGACCGAUAGUGAAGCAGUACCGUGAGGGAAAGGUGAAAAGAACCCCGGAAGGGGAGUGAAAUAGAACCUGAAACCGUGUGCCUACAA